AUGGAAGAAACGUCGCUGGAGGCCGCGAUUGGGUGGCUGGUGCAGGCCAUCUAUGCCAGCCUCCUAGUUGGCGGCGAGCUCGAUGCUUGGAUUCGCCGGGCUGGGCUCGCGGAUGACAUCGAGAGGCUCAGAUCUGAGGUCGAGGGAGUCGAGAUGGUGGUCUCUGCUGUCAAGGGGAGGGCGAUCGGGAACAAGCCGCUGGCCCGAUCGCUCGCCCGCAUCAGGGAGCUGCUCUACGGCGCGGAUGAUCUGGUGGACGAGCUCGACUACUGGAGGCUCCAGCAGCAGCUGGAACUGGAAGGAGGCGCAAGGCACGACCUUGAUGAACCGAAUGCACAUGGAUCACUGCAAUUGGAAAGAUCGACUGAGAGUAGCAGUGUUGACAGAUUAGGGUCCGAGUCCUGGGGACACUUUGAUAUCGAGGAGUUCCAUGAAAAUGGAGGGCCUGGCGGAGCAAGAUGUAAACACUGUCGUGCCAUGGUUGUGUGCACAGCUGACAAGGGGACACCUGUUUUGCGCAAGCAUCUCAAGAGUAAAGGUUGUAAGAAGAAACGUGGAGCGAGUGAACCUUCAAGCACUGGUGAUGCUACUGCAAGUGCUACUUCUACUGCAACUGAUGGUAUUUCAUCCACCAGAAACAUGAGAGAGGCUGAGGUUGAGGAGCCAAAACACGGCACCAUAUCCGAGACAUACACUUGGGAUAAGGACAACUUUUCCAAUAGGAUAAAAGACAUAACUCAUCAGCUGCAAGGCAUCCGAGGAGAUGUGAGAGCGGCUCUGAUGAUACUUGGGUCAGACUCUAGCGCAAGUUCAAAUCACCAUGUAGAACAUCCACACCGUAGAACAUCAAGUCUUGUUCAGGGAAAAGUUUAUGGGAGGGAUCAUGAGAAGGCAGAAAUCAUACGGCUGGUAAAAAGACACAAAUUAUCUAGCAGUGUAACUGUUCUGACUGUUUUAGGCAUUGGUGGGGUUGGGAAGACAACCCUUGCUCAACUGGUAUACAACGAUCCAUCCGUGGAAAGUCAAUUUGACCAUAGGAUAUGGAUUUCAGUGUCCAACAAAUUUGAUGAAACGAGAAUCUCAAGAGAGAUGUUGGAUUUUGUGUCCCAAGGAACACAUGAAGGGCUGUACAGCUUUGCCAGGCUUCAGGAGGUCUUGAGAGGUUGUAUUAAAUCAAAGAGGGUUCUACUUGUUUUAGAUGAUGUCUGGGAUGACAUGAAUGAUUGCCAGUGGAACCAACUAUUAGCCCCUUUCAAUUCUGACAAUGCAAAAGGCAAUAUCAUACUUGUGACAACUAGAAAACCAUCUGUUGCAAAAAGGAGAGGUACGGUUGAACCAAUUAAGUUACCUGGUUUGAAAGAAGAUGAUUUUUGGAUAUUGUUUAAAGCGUGUGUGUUUGGUGAUGAGAACUAUGAAGUGAAAGGUAGUCUUAGGACUUUGGCAUGGCAGAUAAUAGAAAAGUUGAAAGGAAACCCGCUAGCUGCAGAAACUGCAGGGGCAUUAUUAAGACAGCAUCUUACCAGUGAACAUUGGAGUAACAUUCUGAAGAACGAAGAUUGGAAAUCCCUGCAUCUCACAAGAGGCAUUAUGCCUACUUUGAAGCUUUGUUAUGAUCAACUGCCCUACCAUUUACAACAAUGCUUCUCAUAUUGUGCUAUAUUCCCUUGCAAUUAUCGGUUUCUCGCUGAGGAGAUAGUUCGUAUUUGGAUUUCACAGGGAUUUGUGAAGUGUAGUCAUUCAGGUAUGAGAUUGGAUGAGAUAGGACGGCUCUAUCUGACUAAUUUAGUGAACCUGGGCUUCUUUCAGCAGAUUGAAGAAGGCUACUCUUCAAACAAUCAAACUACUUAUGUUAUGUGUGCUCUUAUGCAUGAUUUCGCAAGGGUAAUUUCAAGAGCUGAGUGUGCAACUUUGGAUGCUCUACAGUGCAAUGAAAUUUCAUCAACUGUGCUACAUUUGUCAAUAGUAACUGGUCGUGUGUAUUGGUAUGAUGAGAAGUUUCAAGAGAUAUUGCGAAAUACAUUGAAAAAAGUAAAAAAUUUGAGAUCAUUGGUCUUAAUUGGACAGUACGACUCCCAAUUGUUCCAACAAGUAUUUGAGAAGGCACACAAUUUGCGUCUGUUACAAGUAUCUGCAACUGCUGGGUCUCAUUCCUUCCUAUGCGGUUUGGUAAAUCCUACACAUCUUCGGUAUCUAAACCUACAGGAUGCUCAUGUUUGGCCGGAAGAUUUACCUCAAGUUUUGAGCAAGUUUCUCCACCUUCAAGUAUUAGAAGUUGGCUUAUGCCAUGAUACUUCGUUUACCCUUGAGCGGAUGGUUAAUCUAGAGGAUUGUGGUGAAAGGCUUAUAUUUCCAUCUCUGGAAAGACUUCCGUUUCUUACGACGUUCAAGUUGAGCAACCUGCGGAAAAUUAGAGAAGUAUCAGUUCCAUCAUUGCAGGAGCUGAUUUUAGUUGAAAUGCCAGAGUUGGAGAGAUGUACCUGCACUUCCCUAGGGGAUUUGAACUCUAGUUUAAGGGUACUGGAGAUUCGGAGCUGCCCUGCACUCAAGGUGUUCGAUCUGUUUGAGAAAGGUCAUAACUUUGCUGAGCAGCCGUCAUUGUUUGAAGGUCAUAACUACGGAACUGGGUGGAAGCUAUGGUUGCCCGGUCUUAGAGUACUCACAGUAAUCAAUUGUCCUCAUUUACUGAUGCCGUGUCUCCUACCACAUUCAACUAAUGUUUCUAGACUGCACAUCGACGGAGUUCCAACACUUCUGAAGAUGGAGGGAUCGUCCACAGAAAAACUAGAAAUUUCUCCAAAUAGUCGAUCUGGUGAGAAUUCCGGUGAGACAUUGAGAUUGGAUGGAAAAAUAUUGUCAUUCCAUAAUUGGGGGGACCUAAAAUCCUUGAGCAUAUCAUUUUGUGGAAACCUAACAUCUAUUUCAUUUCGAAGUCUUAAUCAGCUCUUCUCUUUAAGGGAUCUCCGUAUAGUAGGGUGCAGAAAACUUUUCUCUUCAGAUGUUCGGCCAGAGCUUACUGAUGAAUAUGCGAUAGGUGCAUAUCGGUUUGGCCUCCGGUGUCUCAGAAGUCUCUAUAUUAGUUCAUCAGGAAUAACAGGGAAGUGGUUAUCUUUGAUGUUGCAACAUGCGCAGAUCCUGAAGGAAUUGUGCUUAAAUGACUGCCCUCAGUUUACACAGUUACAGAUCGAAGAGGAAGAGAACAGUCAACCAAAUUUUAUCUCAGCCCCAGAGACUUCAUCAAGCUGGGGUCCAGAUGGACUUUUGUGCAUUCCAUUAAAUCUCACCUCCUCUCUAGAAAAGAUAGCUAUUUCUCGAAGCCCUUAUUUGAGAUUUUACGGGAACAAGGAAGACUUUGCUGGAUUUACCUCCCUGCAGGAGCUAAUAAUUCGAUGCUGUCCUGGGCUGCUCUCAUCCUUGGUGCAUAAUGACGGAAAUGAUGUCCAGGCAAACAGAAUAUGGCUUCUUCCGCAGCCACUUGGACAAGUUGUGAUCAGUCAUUAUGACCACAAAACACUAUCACUCUGCUUCAUGGGUAAUCUCACUUGUCUCAAAAAAUUGGAAGUAUUGGAAAGCCCAGGCUUGGAAUCUCUACAGCUGCAUUCCUGCACAUUGCUUGAAGAUUUGAGAAUUCGUGAAUGCAAACAGCUUGCCACAGUAAAGGGAAUGCAAUCCCUUGUGAACCUCAUGAAUUUGGAAGUACAAGAAAACCCUAGUUUGGUAUCUCUACAGUUGCAUUCCUGCAGGUCGCUGGAAGAUCUGAGAAUUGAAAAAUGUGAAUCACUCAUCGCACUAGAGGGCUUGCAAUCCCUUGUGAACCUCAGGAAUUUGGCCCUACUCAACUCCCCUGGCUUGCCUCCAUAUUUCGAACGUUUGUCGGGGCACUAUGAGCUGGGCCCUCGACUCGAAAGUCUUCACAUUGAUGACUUGUCUCUCCUUACCAUGUCACUGUGCAAUGGCCUCACUUGCCUCCAAUGCCUACGACUUGAGAAGCUGGAACAGGGAGGGACAAGACUAACAGAUGAGCAAGAGAGAGCGCUACUGCUCCUCAGGUCCCUGCAAAACCUUGAAUUUCUUGAUUGUUUCAACCUCGUACAUCUUCCUGUGAGACUGCACAGCCUUCCUUCCCUCAAGGCAUUGAGUAUCGUUUGUUGUGAUGACAUCCCAAGGCUGCCUAAGAAGGGCCUCCCAUCUUCGCUGGAAAGGCUAGUGAUAUACGAUUGCAGUACUGAGCUAAAAGAACAGUGUGAAUCGCUAACAAGAGGCAAGCUAAGGGUUGUGAUGAAUGACUGAAUUUUGCGCAGGGCGAUGCAGAAACAUCUUCUUUCAAGAUUCAAGACGCGUGUCCUUGUUUGGGGAUAUGUGCUACAGCUCACCGCUAGGUUUACAACUGUUCUACCAUUGAUCAUGUUAUCUUGUGAAUUGACAUAACUCAGCGUCGUGCUAAAAUGAGCAGUCUCUCUGCAAGCAUUUGAAGAUGUUGAACAUAUUGUUGAUGCAGUAACCAUCUUUAGGAUCAUGACAUAUACCGUAUAAUUAUAAGAGUUUUGGUGUCUCAUAAUCUCAUCUCUGCUAUUAACAUGUUCGGAUUUCUGGAAGCAAACUGGUAAUUUUUGCUCUAUUAUUGCCGUCAUGCCAACUAAAAGCAGUCAACAGUUUCUGGCCCAGUAGGUCGGUGUGGCCCGAGUGCUUUGUAAUUGUAAACUGGAUGGUGUGGUUUCAUCAAAUGGAAUCGGGGUGAGAGCCCUUUUGAUCUAAAAAAGGAAAAGAGCAGUCAACAGGUAACCCUAUCUGUUUCAUUAUUUGUUAUUCAGUCUCAUAUUGUGGACUGAAAUAGCUGAUUAAUGACUGCAUGCAGAAGAUGCAUCCACAGAUGCAUGUGGCCUCAAUGCCUUUAUGCAGCUGGCUUUAUGUCAUUUCGUAGACUGAAAAUUUUCUGAAUUCAUUCCUUCCACCUGAAGUAGAAGACUUUUUAUGGUGUCAGUUAGUAAGCUAGCUAUCUGAACACUGUAGAACAUGUUGAGACAAUAUUAACCUAUUAAAGGACCAGUAUUCGUUUCGUCAACCAACAGUUAUGUCACAGUUAUAAGCUAGCUAUCUGAAUAAACUUAACUUUGCUUCGCUGAAAGUGACACUUAAGUACUUGAUAAAUAUUUGGCUUCAGGUUUGAGUAAGAAGUGGCAGUGAAGUCCUUGUCAUGAUAAUCGGUGUAUUACAUUGCGUUGCAAAACUCAAGUUUCUUGUCACCUGUUCUUAAUGUCCAGCAUGGAAUUCAAGAUAUUGCUGUGGAAUGGCCAAAGUCUGUGUUGCAUUCCAUUGCAUUGCAUGCGUGUGGCUAGAAAUUGCUGACUUGCCGGCAUGAAGUAAAUCAGCCUGAUUCCAUGCAAAGUCAGUGGUACUUUCUGCUAUCGGAGAUGCAUGCUGUAGAAUGUACUCCUGUAUACUCUGUAUUGCUCCGAGUUCUGCUUGCCAACUUACAGCUCCCCUGGCUCCGGCUAUGGAGCAAGGAGUGCAGAUUCAUGAUUCUGGAACAGCCGAACAGGGUGUUUUAAUCUGCGCAAAGUCAACAAGGAUUUCUAUUAGGAGCCAACCCUGAGCUAUAAUAAUACGAGACGAACAAAACCUCGCUCGUCGCCGUCCUGGCAUCCCGCUUGUCCCCACAUGCUCCGUAUUUCUGUCUCUGCUGGUGCCACCACUACUCCCUGCUUGUUGCUGCCAGUCGAGCAAGAUGUCCGGUGCUGCGGUGGACAAGGACAAGACGCCGACGGAGGAAGAGAAUAAGAAUCCGGCGUGGGAGGAUGAGGAGGAAAAGGAUCAGGCGAGAAAGGAGGUGGUUACAGGUCUGAACUUUGAUCCUCUUUCCCACCUAUACUUAGCAUGAUUUAUUUUCAGUAUUCUCUGUAGUUUAUAAGCAGCAAAUGCCACCAGGGAAUGCUCCAUGUUGUAAGAAAUUUGUGAACUCUGAACCUAGUCAAGUGCUUCUACUACAAGGUACUAUAUAGGUACCUGAUAUUUGGAAACUGUCAAAUGCCUUUACCUGCUCACACAAUAUCCCUGAAACAGCAACUGUUCCACUGGUUUUCUGAAACAGCAACUGUUACAGUGAAGAAAAACCCAUGACUGGUUUGUCACAGCCAAAGGUGGGUGCAGGAGAUGAUGAUGAUGCGCUGCUAAUAUUGGACUUGCCAGUGGACAGGUCUUCAGAGCAGCAGCCAUUGACUUGGAAAAGUUCGGGACUAAAAUUUGAUGUUCAGGAGAAUCAAAUUCAUCGUAAAUAAGGGGCUGCCAUUGACUUGUCGUUCGUCGCAAAGUUCAGGAGAAUCUGAAUGUAUGUUCAGAACUAUGAAAUCUGGUGUUCAAGCAGAUGUUCAGGAUGUGAAAUCUGAAACCUGAAUCCGAUGUUCAUGCUAAGCACUGAUGUAUGCUCACUGAGAUUAUGUUAGUUUUAAAACUGCUCGUUGCUCCGUUUGAUAAACUGAAUCUAACAUUGUAUCAAAUGGACCGAAGAUUUGCUCGUUGCGCAUUUGAAAAACUGAAUCUAACAUUCUAUCAAAU
Molecule: ribosomal RNA, 6549 nt
Filed under: Triticum aestivum (bread wheat)
Lineage: Eukaryota; Viridiplantae; Streptophyta; Magnoliopsida; Poales; Poaceae
Description: partial small subunit ribosomal RNA
Source: RNAcentral